AAGACUAUAGACCUGCGGAGUACCUGCGGAAGGAUCAUUACCGAGUUUACAACUCCCAAACCCCUGUGAACAUACCAAUUGUUGCCUCGGCGGAUCAGCCCGCUCCCGGUAAAACGGGACGGCCCGCCAGAGGACCCCUAAACUCUGUUUCUAUAUGUAACUUCUGAGUAAAACCAUAAAUAAAUCAAAACUUUCAACAAUGGAUCUCU
This 209-nucleotide unclassified non-coding RNA is filed under the name soil metagenome. RNAcentral describes it as "partial contains 5.8S ribosomal RNA, internal transcribed spacer 2, and large subunit ribosomal RNA". The record is from RNAcentral.